CUACGGGGGGCUGCAGUGGGGAAUAUUGCACAAUGGGCGCAAGCCUGAUGCAGCCAUGCCGCGUGAGGGAAGAAGGUUUUCGGAUUGUAAACCUCUGUCCUUGGGGACGAAGAAGUGACGGUACCCAAGGAGUAAGCUCCGGCUAACUACGUGCCAGCAGCCGCGGUAAUACGUAGGGAGCAAGCGUUGUCCGGAAUUACUGGGCGUAAAGGGUGCGUAGGCGGCAUAUUAAGUCAGGUGUGAAAUACUCGGGCUCAACCCGGGGGCUGCAUUUGAAACUGAUAUGCUUGAGUGUGAGAGAGGAAAGUGGAAUUCCUAGUGUAGCGGUGGAAUGCGUAGAUAUUAGGAGGAACACCAGUGGCGAAGGCGACUUUCUGGCUCAUAACUGACGCUGAGGCACGAAAGCGUGGGGAGCAAACAGGAUUAGAUACCCUCGUAGUC
This 441-nucleotide ribosomal RNA is filed under the name uncultured bacterium. RNAcentral describes it as "partial 16S ribosomal RNA". It matches the Rfam family "Bacterial small subunit ribosomal RNA", at positions 339 to 795 of the family's 1533-position model. The record is from RNAcentral.